GCUUGUCUCAAAGAUUAAGCCAUGCAUGUCUAAGUAUAAAUCUUUUACUUUGAAACUGCGAACGGCUCAUUAUAUCAGUUAUAGUUUAUUUGAUAGUCCCUUACUACUUGGAUAACCGUAGUAAUUCUAGAGCUAAUACAUGCUAAAAACCCCAACUUCGGAAGGGGUGUAUUUAUUAGAUAAAAAACCAACGCCCUUCGGGGCUCCUUGGUGAUUCAUAAUAACUAAACGAAUCGCAUGGCCUUGCGCCGGCGAUGGUUCAUUCAAAUUUCUGCCCUAUCAACUUUCGAUGGUAGGAUAGUGGCCUACCAUGGUAUCAACGGGUAACGGGGAAUUAGGGUUCUAUUCCGGAGAGGGAGCCUGAGAAACGGCUACCACAUCCAAGGAAGGCAGCAGG
This 397-nucleotide ribosomal RNA is filed under the name Minutisphaera fimbriatispora. RNAcentral's name for it is "partial small subunit ribosomal RNA". It matches the Rfam family "Eukaryotic small subunit ribosomal RNA", at positions 30 to 432 of the family's 1831-position model. The record is from RNAcentral. Lineage: Eukaryota; Fungi; Ascomycota; Dothideomycetes; Minutisphaerales; Minutisphaeraceae.